CCCAGACAAAUUUGACAAACAAAGCUAAAUUGAAUUUACUACAAAAACGACCCAGUUUAGAGGGCUAAAAGCUAGUUAAAUAGGACAUUCUCAGUAAUGUAGCACACAUGGUCUGUUCCAGUGUGACUAGAGCAAUCAUUUGACACCGUUUCAAUAGACAAUGGAGCUUUUCUGCGAUUUUUAUGCACCCCCAGACAAAUUUGACAAACAAAGCUAAAUUGAAUUUACUACAAAAACGACCCAGUUUAGAGGGCUAAAAGCUAGUUAAAUAGGACAUUCUCACUAAUGUAGCACACAUGGUCUGUUCCAGUGUGACUAGAGCUAUCAUUUGACACCGUUUCAAUAGACAAUGGAGCUUUUCUGCGAUUUUUAUGCACCCCCAGACAAAUUUGACAAAGCUAAAUUGAAUUUACUACAAAAACGACCCAGUUUAGAGGGCUAAAAGCUAGUUAAAUAGGACAUUCUCAGUAAUGUAGCACACAUGGUCUGUUCCAGUGUGACUAGAGCUAUCAUUUGACACCGUUUCAAUAGACAAUGGAGCUUUUCUGCGAUUUUUAUGCACCCUCAGACAAAUUUGACAAACAAAUCUAAAUUGAAUUUGAUACAAAAACGACCCAGUUUAGAGGGCUAAAAGCUAGUUAAAUAGGACAUUCUCAGUAAUGUAGCACACAUGGUCUGUUCCAGUGUGACUAGAGCUAUCAUUUGACACCGUUUCAAUAGACAAUGGAGCUUUUCUGCAUUUUUAUGCACCCCAAGACAAAUUUGACAAACAAAGCUAAAUUGAAUUUACUACAAAAACGACCCAGUUUAGAGGGCUAAAAUCUAGUUAAAUAGGACAUUCUCAGUAAUGUAGCACACAUGGUCUGUUCCAGUGUGACUAGAGCUAUCAUUUGACACCGUUUCAAUAGACAAUGGAGCUUUUCUGCAUUUUUUCUGCACCCCCAGACAAAUUUGACAAACAAAGCUAAAUUGAAUUUACUACAAAAACGACCCAGUUUAGAGGGCUAAAAGCUAGUUAAAUAGGACAUUCUCACUAAUGUAGCACACAUGGUCUGUUCCAGUGUGACUAGAGCUAUCAUUUGACACCGUUUCAAUAGACAAUGGAGCUUUUCUGCGAUUUUUAUGCACCCUCAGACAAAUUUGACAAACAAAGCUAAAUUGAAUUUGAUACAAAAACGACCCAGUUUAGAGGGCUAAAAGCUAGUUAAAUAGGACAUUCUCAGUAAUGUAGCACACAUGGUCUGUUCCAGUGUGACUAGAGCUAUCAUUUGACACCGUUGUUACGUUCCCCAGUUUCUGUUGUGGUUUGUGUAUUAUCAUGUAUGUAUUUCAGGAGAUGGAUUCCUGAAGUUCUCAACGAGCAGCUGAUUGGGCAAUCAACAUUGAUUGUUUGGAGAGCUGACCCCGCCCCCUCAUCAGGACGCAGCUGUCUCCAAUUACUAACUUCUUCUGAAGCUAUAUAAGCCCCAGUUCUGUUGCUCAGAAGAGGAGAUGAUUGCUGAGAGACAAGGCUAAUGGCUGAGGGUUAUAGCAUGUUGGUUGUUUCCAAGAAU
This 1553-nucleotide long non-coding RNA is filed under the name Salmo salar (Atlantic salmon). RNAcentral's name for it is "lncRNA (ENSSSAG00000104889.1)". Lineage: Eukaryota; Metazoa; Chordata; Actinopteri; Salmoniformes; Salmonidae. The record is from RNAcentral.